RNAcentral lists this unclassified non-coding RNA (716 nucleotides) under Eurytemora carolleeae. Its description in RNAcentral is "homologous-pairing protein 2 homolog". Lineage: Eukaryota; Metazoa; Arthropoda; Copepoda; Calanoida; Temoridae. The record is from RNAcentral.
ACUGAACAAAUUAUAAUAUUUUGUUAGGACGUGUUCAUGAACCUGCACAAGGAGCACGGUAAACCGUUGGUGCAGAGGGUUCUGGACCAACUAGUUGCAGAGAACAAGCUCAAGGAGAAGAUUAACGGCAAACAGAAGUGUUAUGUUGCUAAUCAGGAUAAUUUACCGACCUCUAGUGAAAGUGAGCUGGUAGAGCUGGAUCAAGAAUGUGCAAAACUCACACAAACUCUCUCGAAGAAACAGGAACAAUUGAAAAUAAUGGAAGCAGAAGUUCGUAAACUAAAUAGUGUACUUACAACCCAGGAAGCAGAAACCAAACUCAAACAGAUUGAAACAGAGAAUACAGAAAUGAUGGAAAGGCUGGAAAAGUUAGAGAAUCAAACUGUCCUAGUCUCAGCUGAGGAUAAGGAGAGGAUAAGGAAGACACAUGAGCAGUCCAUUAAUCUCUGGAGGAAAAGGAAACGGAUGUGCAUGGAUGCGCUAGAUUCUAUUCUUGAAUCCUGGCCUAAAUCUAAGAAGGAGCUGUUUGAUGAUAUUGGCUUGGAGACCGAUGAUGCUGCUGGAGUAACAUUUCCUAAGAACUGAACAAGUCCGGAUAUAAAGAUCAUCAAACCAAUCUAAAUUUAUCAUUCACAAUUUAAUGAAUGACUGAACGAGUGUGAGUCCAGUGUCACCGUGUAACAAGAGGCUGUGAGACAAAUAAUUAAUAUUUCAGA